Molecule: long non-coding RNA, 311 nt
Filed under: Danio rerio (zebrafish)
Lineage: Eukaryota; Metazoa; Chordata; Actinopteri; Cypriniformes; Danionidae
Description: lncRNA si:ch73-384n10.7 (ENSDARG00000103039.2)
Source: RNAcentral
CCGCUAGAAAAUAUAGUGCGUUGCCACGCCACAGUAGGUCACAACUCUAUCUAACGCAUGCGCAGUAAUAUUAUAUUCAGGUGUUUCUCUCAUGAGCAGGACCCGAUUCAUGAACUAUACGUGUUUUAUUUUAAGCGUCAUUAAAUGUCUCGCUUUUGACAACUGGACAAUUUCGAGUGAAUGAAAAUGUGGAUUGAGAAGACAACAAGGACAGUGAGGACGGAUCUUCCUUUGAUGUAACAGUGCUGGACUUUGACCUCUGAGGGUGCAGCUCUUGUUGACCACGAAGAGCAAAAUUCCACACAGUAAGU